This 193-nucleotide unclassified non-coding RNA is filed under the name uncultured fungus. RNAcentral's name for it is "sequence contains ITS1". The record is from RNAcentral. Lineage: Eukaryota; Fungi.
UAAAUGAUUUACAUUUGUUGUACUGACGCUGAUUGCAACUGCAUAAAAAAGGUUUAUUGUGUGGUCCUGGUGGCGGGCGAACCCGCCCAGGAAACAACAAGUGCGCAAAAGACAAGGGUAAUAAAUAAUCCAGCCGCGAACAGCCUUCAUAUUUUAUUGUGUAAUGAUCCCUCCGCAGGUUCACCUACGGAGA